This 1059-nucleotide ribosomal RNA is filed under the name Bothrops moojeni (Brazilian lancehead). Its description in RNAcentral is "bacterial LSU rRNA". It matches the Rfam family "Bacterial large subunit ribosomal RNA", at positions 1554 to 2596 of the family's 2925-position model. Lineage: Eukaryota; Metazoa; Chordata; Lepidosauria; Squamata; Viperidae. The record is from RNAcentral.
GGGUGAGGGGUGAUGCGUAGCCGUGGUGGUGAAGUCAGUGAUCCCGUGCUGCCGAGAAAAGCCUCUAGCGAUGUGUGUGCAUGGCCCGUACCCGAAACCGACACAGGUGGUCAGGUAGAGAAUACCAAGGCGCUUGAGAGAACUCGGGUGAAGGAACUAGGCAAAAUGGUGCCGUAACUUCGGGAGAAGGCACGCUGAUAUGUAGGUGAAGUCCCUCGCGGAUGGAGCUGAAAUCAGUCGAAGAUACCAGCUGGCUGCAACUGUUUAUUAAAAACACAGCACUGUGCAAACACGAAAGUGGACGUAUACGGUGUGACGCCUGCCCGGUGCCGGAAGGUUAAUUGAUGGGGUUAGCGGUAACGCGAAGCUCUUGAUCGAAGCCCCGGUAAACGGCGGCCGUAACUAUAACGGUCCUAAGGUAGCGAAAUUCCUUGUCGGGUAAGUUCCGACCUGCACGAAUGGCGUAACGACUUCUCCGCUGUCUCGACCACAGGCCCGGUGAAAUUGCAGUACGAGUAAAGAUGCUCGUUUCGCGCGGCAGGACGGAAAGACCCCGGGACCUUUACUAUAGCUUGGUAUUGGUGUUUGGUUCGGCUUGUGUAGGAUAGGUGGGAGACUGGGAAGCUGGCACGCUAGUGUUGGUGGAGUCGUUGUUGAAAUACCACUCUGGUCGUUCUGGGCAUCUCAACCUCGGGCCCUGAUCGGGUUCAGGGACAGUGCCUGGUGGGUAGUUUAACUGGGGCGGUUGCCUCCUAAAGGGUAACGGAGGCGCCCAAAGGUUCCCUCAGCUUGGUUGGCAAUCAGGUGUUGAGUGUAAGUGUAUAAGGGAGCUUGACUGUGAGACUGACGGGUCGAGCAGGUGCGAAAGCAGGGACUAGUGAUCCGGCACUGGCUGGUGGAAGCGGUGUCGCUCAACGGAUAAAAGGUACCCCGGGGAUAACAGGCUGAUCUUGCCCAAGAGUCCAUAUCGACGGCAUGGUUUGGCACCUCGAUGUCGGCUCGUCGCAUCCUGGGGCUGGAGUAGGUCCCAAGGGUUGGGCUGUUCGCCCAUUAAAGCGG